CGAGCACAAGUUGCUGAAAUGAGAAGGUGUCGACAUUUUAACAAUAUAUAGUGACAGUAAAGUCAGCAUAUGAAUAUAUACAUAUAUAUUUUUCAUUUUAUAAAAAAGUUUUAAAUUAUUUUUCCGAUAAAUGACAAAGAGCCUGAAGACGAUCGAGAAUAAGACGGACGACGACAACAAAAGAAAGAGAAAAUGUACGUCAAAAUCACCAGCAACACCAAAGUAAAUGACAAAAAAAUAAAUAAAUGAAUCCUAAUAAAAAAAAAUCGGAGAAUUUUACAAUCGCAGAGGUGUAAUCGCACGGAAAUACAACGAUUUCGCACACACCAAAUAGACUAAAUAACAAAAAGACAAAACGAAACGGAACGUGAAUAAUUUUGUGAUCUAUAUUCACAGUGUGAAUAUUGUUUAGUGAAUACGUGAAACCAAUACAAUAAUAAUACCAUUGAGAAAAAGAGAUAAAGAGAGAAAGAGAGAAAAAACAACAAAUUUGCAAUCUAUUCAAGUGUCAAAUCAAAAUGCCAUUUGUAAAUGAUGCGAUCGACGUCACAUUUUCUCAAAUAAAAUGACAUGAAGACAAUUUUAUGACCAAUCAAUGUUAUUUCCAUAACAAAUAAAUAUGAAUUUAAAAUAGCCAACCAUAGGUUGUGCAAACAUAAAUUGUGUGCCUUAAUAUUGCCUUUAGAAAUGAUAGUCUUCUAUUAGCAAAAUUUUCAUGUGAAAGAUUCAAAAUAAAAAGAAAAGAAGAAGAAAAAGUGUGCCUUGCCCGUUUUUGAUAACGAAAAUCCUGUCCAUAUCAACCGUAUCAGUGAAAUUUUGAGUUAAUGGAAUUUGUGUGUGUUUUAUUUUCGUGUAUGCCAAUGCAUAAAUAAAUGUGAGUUUUUUAUGGGCCGCCAAAUAGUGUUCAAUUAUUGAAAGAAAAAUACGUAUAACCUUGCAAAUGUAAUAAAUCGUGAACGAAGUGAAAUAAAUGCAUUCAUUUUUUCGUGUUUCACAAUCGCUCUGAAAUGUGGAUAUAAUACGCAAAUCCAUAAAACAAUUCGGGUGCGGGCAACACAAGCACACGAGAUCGAGUAUGAUCACCACCUCUGCCGUCACCGAAGCCACUGCCAACAAUAUUUGUGUGUCUGUGUUUGCUUAAAUGUGAGUGAUUCGUGUGGAGAACGAGAGAGAUAGAACGAAAGAGAGAAUAUUUCGAAUGCAUGUGGCAUUUUUAACAUCGGCGAAUCAAUCAUCGAUCUAUCGCGAUUAUUGUGAUAUGACAAACCGAAACAUUAACAAUGAAUCAAACAGGCGGAAAAACGCCGUCUACACCAAGGCUCUCGGAAUACGCGACAAAUGCCUUGGAAACAAUUCGCAAGGAAUUACGAAUGUUUUCAAUCAGCGAUGUGCAAAAUGCAUCCAAUGCAACAAACGGCCAACAAAUCCCAACGCAUCAAUCAAAAGUCGAAUGCGAUCUAAACCUCUUAUUAGCACAAUUAAUGAAUUCCGGCUUUACGGAAGAGCAAGCAAUCACUUUUAUCAAAACUAAUGGUCGCAGCGAUGGUUUAGAAAAUAAUAAACAAGUGCAACUACAGCAAUGCAAUCAACGAUUACCAGUUUCAGCUCCAGCUCAACCACCAAAAUUAUUUCGAAAGCCGAGCAUCGAACGCGAAAUACCGCAAUUUCCGCGAGGUAGUCCAGCCCUUGAUUCGGGCGCCGGUAGUUCACGAUCAAAUUCAACAACGGAUUCAGCAACAAUUUACGACGCCAAACCCAUUGAAUAUUGCAAGCAAAUCGAUUACUGCAAACCAAUAGAAUUUUGUAAACAUGUGCCACUACAACAAUGCAGUAAUCAACGAUUACCAGUAAUUCCAGCUCGUGGUACAUCACCGGUUGUGCCGCAAAAUGGAACAGAUAAAUGUCAUUUAAUGAAAAUGCCUCGUAAACCUCACAAUUCAGUCGAAAAUCCACUUGCAUGGCGUUUUUCUCCAGCAUCCGAUCAACAAGAUCAAAAUAGUAACGUACCACCACCACCAUAUCCAAUUAUUGCAACAGGUGUCACAAACUAUUCACCCUCGAUUCCAAAUCGACAAAGUCCAACUAGUACAACAGAUGAUUAUCGCAAGUCACCGUCAUCGGGCAUCUAUUCAGCAACAUCGGCGGGAUCACCAAGUCCAGUACCACCAUCAAAUUCAAUGUCACCUCAUCCGAUAUCUAGAUCAUCGAAUGUAUGCCAAAUUGGUUCAUGGCAACGUAAAACACAUUCGCCAAUCAUAAUGCAGUCAGUUAAGUCGACACAAGUGCAAAAACCAAUCCUACAAACAGCCAUUGCACCUCAAGUACCAACUACACUCACACCGUCGACGACAACCGCAUUGCCAUCAUAUGCAUCGUCCAUUCAACCUCAUGUAACGAAUAGCGUGACAACGAAUACAAAACAUCAAAAUAAUACACCACCAACAACGCCGCCAGUAUUGAAUUCCAUACCGCCAGACAUAGCACCGAAAAAUAGCCAGAAAACACCACCGAUAAAUGCAGUGCAUCCAUCGUCACCAGCGAAUAAUUUUGUACCUGUGAGUGAACCGCCAUCGUAUGCGAGCUCAAUGGCCUACAAAGCUGCCGCAAAAACUCACAUGGCGUUGCCACCGCCGCCGCCAUAUAGCAACAAUAAUAAUCGAGAUAUGUCUAGUUCGCCGGAAAUAAUAAACAAUAAUAAUUUAUCAAUAACCCCGCCAUUACCGCCAACAUCAUCGUCAUCGGUCAAAAGUAAUAAAAAUAAUAAUGCAAAAACGACCAUAGCAAAUAGUACGAUGACGACGACGACCGCCACAAAGAAAUUAAAUAAACAACCGGCAGCACCACCGCCCGGAUCAACGGUAGCGGCGAAAAAUAGCAAAAACUCUGCAUCGACACCAACAUCAACGUCAACAUCAACGACGACAACAACAACGGAAGGAUGUGAAAAGAUAAAGCAUGAAUCACCAAUUCCCGAACGAAAACUAGUCCCAAAAGAUCAAGAAGAAGUGAAGGAAGGCCGAAUCAAGCACUAUUCACCGCAAGCGUUUAAAUUUUUUAUGGAACAACAUGUUGAGAAUGUGCUCAAAGCAUGUAAACAACGAAUGUUCCGAAAAAAUCAAUUAGAAAAAGAAAUGGGCCGCAUUAAUUUAUCGGAAGAGGCACAAAUUCAAAUGCGUCGAAUGUUAAAUCAAAAAGAAUCAAACUAUCUUCGAUUGAAACGGGCCAAAAUGGAAAAGUCCAUGUUCACAAAAAUCAAAACAAUUGGCGUUGGUGCAUUCGGCGAAGUGGCAUUAGUACAGAAAAUUGAUACGCCAACCAUGUAUUAUGCCAUGAAAACAUUGAAAAAGGUCGACGUCUUGAAACGUAAUCAAGUGGCGCAUGUGAAAGCUGAACGCGAUAUUUUAGCCGAAGCCGAUAACGAAUGGGUCGUUAAAUUGUAUUAUAGCUUUCAAGAUCGUGACAAUUUAUAUUUCGUGAUGGAUUAUAUUCCGGGCGGUGAUUUAAUGUCGCUGCUCAUUAAAUUGGGCAUAUUCAGUGAACCGCUUGCUCGAUUUUACAUUGCCGAACUUACGGUGGCCGUUGAAAGUGUUCAUAAAAUGGGAUUCAUUCAUCGCGACAUCAAACCGGACAAUAUUUUAAUCGAUCGAGAUGGUCACAUUAAACUCACCGAUUUUGGAUUAUGUACGGGUUUUCGUUGGACACACGAUUCAAAAUAUUAUCAAAAAGCCGGCGAACAUGCGCGACAAGAUUCAAUGGAACCAUGGGACGAUGCAAAUGACGGUGUAAAACCAGCUGUUCUAGAACGGCGGCGUCAACGUGAACAUCAACGAUGCCUUGCGCAUUCGCUAGUCGGUACACCAAAUUAUAUAGCGCCCGAAGUAUUAGCCCGCAGUGGAUACACACAAUUGUGCGAUUGGUGGAGUGUGGGUGUUAUUCUGUAUGAAAUGCUUGUUGGUCAGCCACCGUUUUUAGCGAACACAGCUGUAGAAACUCAACAAAAGGUCAUAAAUUGGGAGCAAUCGUUGCAUAUACCGCCCGAGGCGAAAUUGUCGCAAGAAGCAAGUGAUUUAAUUUUACGUUUAUGUUCAUCGGCCGACCGUCGCUUAGGCAAAAAUGCCGACGAAGUAAAAGCGCAUGGAUUUUUCCGUGCCAUAAAUUUUGGUACCGAUUUACGUCAGCAAAAAGCACCGUACAUACCAAAAAUUGAACAUCCAACCGAUACAUCAAACUUUGACGAAGUCGAUCCGGAGCGCAUACAAAAUUCAGAUCAAUUUGAUGCAUUCAGCAACGGUACGGCAAUAUCGUUUCAUGGCUUUUAUGGUUUCACAUAUCGUCGAUUUUUUACGGACGAUAAAAGCAAUCAGGAAUGCAAUGAUCAAGACGGACCCGUCUAUGUUUGAUUAUUACAUAUACAUUUCUCAAAAAAAUUUUGUUGCUCCAAAUGUGUAUAUUCUGGAUGAAAAUAGAAUGCGACGAUUCGACCGAGAACUGUUAACUUUAAAAACAAAUAAAUAGCAAUAUGUUGAGAACUUUCAAAAAGACAAAUACUCAAAAAUUGAACAAGAAAUGGACAAAUUGCAUUGUUGCCGCACUCCCUCGAAAAGUGAAGGAUUAAAGAGAAGAAAAAAAAUGUUGGUGCUUAACAUUAUAAAUUAACAAAAAGGGAAACAUGAAGAGAGGGAGAUAGAACUGGAAGAAUAUCAAAAUGCAAGCAGAAAAAACUUUAAAUGAAAGUAAUCGUUGAAACGUCUUUUUUUCGUUUCACUUAACAAUUUAUUAAAUAAAGUAGUGUGGAACUUGGCAUACACACGCACCACGUCAAUCAUAUCACGUCAGAGACACGAGAAGGAGAUGCAGAAAUCGUUAAAUAAAUGAGUGCCCUCCUGUGCGAGAUAGUAUUUUGAAUAAAUCGUAUAACGGCCAAUUGUAAAAUCCAUCAAAAUAAAUUCAAAAAAAAAGAACGUUGCGUUGAUAACCAACAACAUAAUUCAAAUACUCUCGUUUGGGCUUGCUUAUAGAACUAUAGUUAAAAAGCGAAAGAAGAUAAAUUAAUCAUUUAAAUGAAAUGAAAAAAUAAAUAAAUAGAAAUCAAUACAAAUAAUAUUUAAGAUUUUUGAUAGGUAAUUUUUAAAUAAUUACAAAAAAGAAAGAAAAUAUUAUUAAUAAAAUAAACACAGUGUGUCUUCAAUGUGCGAUUUAUCACAUAAAAAUAAUGUGUAUAUUCUACUUUUAGAGAGAGAGAGAGAAUGAAGGAAAACGACAAAUCAAAGCAAACAAUUAUGAAAAUAAAAUAGAAAAAGAUGGAUAUACAAGAGAGCUAAUAAUGAACAUAUAAAUAGAAUGAACGAAAGAAAAAUCUAAAAAGAAAAAAAAAUCUCUGGUUUCGCCAAAUUAGCUUUAACCAAUCAAAUUCAAUUGAAAUCGAAUAAACGAAACAGCAAACAAAAAUGCCGUGAUAUAUCAAGCAUAAAGCUUCUCAAAUUAUCGAGAGUGAUUCAUUUCGUUUAUUCGUUUAUUCGUCUCUUUCGUAAAUUAGUAAACUUCAACCGCGAGCCACAUAAUGACAGUUAAGAUGAGGUUCAAUCGCUAAAAAUUCAACAGGUUUCUCUCAUAACUCAACAAAAGUCGUGUAAUAUUGAUAAAAAAUGGCCGGCAAAAAAAAUCAAGUGAUACAUUUUAUACAAAUAAUUUUUUUUCGAAGCCGAAAAUGAAAAAGGAAGCAACGCGUAAAUAAAAGAAAAUGCAAAGACAAUAGCACGAUAUUUGUUUUUUUUUUUGGAAAAAAACGUACACUCCUCAAAAAGAAAAUGCAACUCACGCACAUAGAAACACACACGCGUACAUACAUACAUACACUCAUAAAAGCACUCACAAACAAAAUCUUCAAUUAAAAGUAAAAAAAAAUUCCAGCAGGCUGGAACACACACACACAUCUUCAUACAGUAUAGAAUAAAUUAGAUUGAAUUUAGUAUCCCUUUUGGUUCAACUAUUGUUUUCUCAAUAUAUUCGAUGAUUUUUGAACGCAAACAAAACAAAUUCGGCUUAAAUAGUUUUUUUUUUAUUCAAAUGAGAAAAAAAAUGAAAAUAAUAAAUUACAAUUUGAUGUUAUAAAGCAAAAUGUUUCCGGUUUUGUUCGAAACAUUUUGAAAUGCGAGUACCCAAAAUCUAUGUUAUUUACAAACAAGUCAGAAAAAUAGCAACAAACGAUUAUUUAUUUUGCAAUUAUUUAACAAAGCGCGGUAUACACAAUUGCACACACAAUGAUGUUUAAUAUGGUGUUGUGUAAGAGAAAAUAUGAUAUAUAUUUUUUUUGCAGUUGAAAAAUGUUAAGAAAUGCUAAAAAAAGAGAGAAAAAAACAAACAACAAUUUGACAGCAUAUCAGAUGAGAGAAAUAAACAAACAGACAUCCAUGUGGUGCUUAACAAUUUUAUUAGUAAGUUCGGAAAUGGUAUGUUAUUAAAAAGUUUUUAGUUGAACGGCGUGAUAUCCAGUAAGAUUAAUUUAUACUAAGAUUUUAACUUUAAACAAGUAAACAAAGAGAGCCAGCUUGAUGCAUACGAAGCAUAUUUUAUACAGAAAGAUGACAAUUCAUUGAACCAAGACAGAGGCAAUAUUGAGUCUUUUCUCUCAUAUAAUGUACAAUUAACCAAUAUGAUAUGACUUUAUUGUUGUUGCCACGUGUUUUUUUUUUAAUCACCGUUAUUUCCUGUGAGUGUUUUGUGUAAAGAGCUAUGUACUAACCAAUGUAUACACCAACGUUUCAGUCGUGAUGCUGAUGAUGGGACGCACAGUUGUCUCGAAAUGCAUUCAAACACAAAAAAAAAUCGAUGCCUUGUAUGGUGAAAAAAGUAUAAAAACAAUUGCGUUUGAUUUGUCCGUAAAUAUGAAUAUUCGAGCAGAUGGAAAACGUGAAGAGAGCGACGAAAUGAAAUGAAAAGCAAUCAAAAGAAUUACUCGCCGUAAUUAUCAUGCCGUAAACAGGAUCGUUGGCGCUAUGUUUUAUGUGUUGCGCCAUCGAUAAUAAUUUAUUUGCAUUUGAUUGGAAGAAAAAUCAUGCAAUAAAUACAACCAAUAGUGGUGCAUGCAACAAAA
Molecule: RNA transcript, 7093 nt
Organism: Contarinia nasturtii (swede midge)
Lineage: Eukaryota; Metazoa; Arthropoda; Insecta; Diptera; Cecidomyiidae
Gene: wts
Gene name: serine/threonine-protein kinase Warts
Exons: 14
Source: RefSeq, a predicted model, not a curated record